CAGUCGCCGCGGUAACACGUGGGUGGCAAGCGUUGUCCGGAAUUAUUGGGCGCAAAGGGCUCGCAGGCGGUUUCUUAAGUCUGAUGUGAAAGCCCCCGGCUUAACCGGGGAGGGUCAUUGGAAACUGGGAGACUUAGAGUGCAGAAGAGGAGAGUGGAAUUCCAUGUGUAGCGGUGAAAUGCGUAGAUAUAUGGAGGAACACCAGUGGCGAAGGCGACUCUCUGGUCUGUAACUGACGCUGAGGCGCGAAAGCGUGGGGAGCAAACAGGAUUAGAUACCCCCGUAGUCCCUGUCUCUUAUU
RNAcentral lists this ribosomal RNA (301 nucleotides) under uncultured bacterium. RNAcentral describes it as "partial 16S ribosomal RNA". It matches the Rfam family "Bacterial small subunit ribosomal RNA", at positions 509 to 808 of the family's 1533-position model. The record is from RNAcentral.